This 410-nucleotide ribosomal RNA is filed under the name uncultured bacterium. RNAcentral's name for it is "bacterial SSU rRNA". It matches the Rfam family "Bacterial small subunit ribosomal RNA", at positions 370 to 772 of the family's 1533-position model. The record is from RNAcentral.
AAUGGGGGAAACCCUGAUCCAGCCAUUCCGCGUGAGUGAAGAAGGCCUUCGGGUUGUAAAGCUCUUUCAGCAGGAACGAAAGGGCAGGCUUUAAUACAGCCUGCUAAUGACGGUACCUGCAGAAGAAGCACCGGCUAACUACGUGCCAGCAGCCGCGGUAAUACGUAGGGUGCGAGCGUUAAUCGGAAUUACUGGGCGCAAAGCGUGCGCAGGCGGCGGCAUAAGACAGAUGUGAACUCCCCGGGCUCAACCUGGGAACUGCGUUUGUGACUGUGCUGCUAGAGUGUAGCAGAGGGGGGUGGAAUUCCACGUGUAGCAGUGAAAUGCGUAGAGAUGUGGAGGAACACCGAUGGCGAAGGCAGCCCCCUGGGUUAACACUGACGCUCAUGCACGAAAGCGUGGGGAGCAAA